CGGAAUCAAUAACGGAUCUGAAUGACUUAGUCAUGAGGGCUCCUUACCAACCAGCUGAUAAAAAGGAGGAAUACCUUGCUAACACUGUGGACAAGGCCACAAACAGAUACUAUCCAGUCUAUGAGAAGGCUUUGAAGGACCAUGGACAAGGCUUCCUUGUGGGCAACCAGCUUAGCAGGGCAGAUGUGCAAUUACUUGAAAGCCUUUUAAUGGCAGAGGAGG
This is a non-coding RNA of Tinamus guttatus (white-throated tinamou), 222 nucleotides long. NCBI's taxonomy places the organism in Eukaryota, Metazoa, Chordata, Aves, Tinamiformes, Tinamidae. The record is from RefSeq and is a predicted model, not a curated record.